AGACCCGAAACCCGGUGAUCUAGCCAUGGGCAGGUUGAAGGUUGGGUAACACUAACUGGAGGACCGAACCGACUAAUGUUGAAAAAUUAGCGGAUGACCUGUGGCUGGGGGUGAAAGGCCAAUCAAACCGGGAGAUAGCUGGUUCUCCCCGAAAGCUAUUUAGGUAGCGCCUCGUGAAUUCAUCUCCGGGGGUAGAGCACUGUUUCGGCUAGGGGGCCAUCCCGGCUUACCAACCCGAUGCAAACUGCGAAUACCGGAGAAUGUUAUCACGGGAGACACACGGCGGGUGCUAACGUCCGUCGUGAAGAGGGAAACAACCCAGACCGCCAGCUAAGGUCCCAAAGUCAUGGUUAAGUGGGAAACGAUGUGGGAAGGCCCAGACAGCCAGGAUGUUGGCUUAGAAGCAGCCAUCAUUUAAAGAAAGCGUAAUAGCUCACUGGUCGAGUCGGCCUGCGCGGAAGAUGUAACGGGGCUAAACCAUGCACCGAAGCUGCGGCAGCGACACUGUGUGUUGUUGGGUAGGGGAGCGUUCUGUAAGCCUGUGAAGGUGUGUCGUGAGGCAUGCUGGAGGUAUCAGAAGUGCG
Molecule: ribosomal RNA, 584 nt
Filed under: Salmonella enterica subsp. enterica serovar Heidelberg
Lineage: Bacteria; Pseudomonadati; Pseudomonadota; Gammaproteobacteria; Enterobacterales; Enterobacteriaceae
Also listed under: 1 other name
Description: partial 23S ribosomal RNA
Rfam family: Bacterial large subunit ribosomal RNA
Source: RNAcentral